UACGGAGGAUCCAAGCGUUAUCCGGAAUCAUUGGGUUUAAAGGGUCCGUAGGCGGUUUAAUAAGUCAGUGGUGAAAGCCCAUCGCUCAACGGUGGAACGGCCAUUGAUACUGUUAAACUUGAAUUAUUAGGAAGUAACUAGAAUAUGUAGUGUAGCGGUGAAAUGCUUAGAGAUUACAUGGAAUACCAAUUGCGAAGGCAGGUUACUACUAAUGGAUUGACGCUGAUGGACGAAAGCGUGGGUAGCGAACAG
Molecule: ribosomal RNA, 252 nt
Filed under: uncultured bacterium
Lineage: Bacteria
Description: partial 16S ribosomal RNA
Rfam family: Bacterial small subunit ribosomal RNA
Source: RNAcentral